CCUACGGGAGGCAGCAGUGGGGGAUAUUGGACAAUGGGGGAAACCCUGAUCCAGCGAUGCCGCGUGAGUGAAGAAGGUUUUCGGAUUGUACACCUCUGUGGAGGGGGACGAUAAUGACGGUACCCCUUUAGGAAGCCACGGCUAACUACGUGGCAGCAGCCGCGGUCAUACGUAGGUGCAGCGCGUUGGCUGGAAUUACUGGUUGUAAAGGGAGUGUAGGCGGGAAAGCAAAUCCCAAGUGAAAACUAUGGGCUUAACCCAUAGCAUGCUUUUGAAAUUGUUUUUCUUGAGGGAAGUAGAGGCGAGCGGAAGUCCGAGGGUAGCGGGGAAAUGCGUAGAUAUUAGGAGGAACACCAGUGGCGAAGGCGGCUUGCUGGGCUUUUACUGACGCUGAGGCUCGAAAGCGUGGGGAGCCAACAGGAAUAGAUACCCGUGUAGGC
This 440-nucleotide ribosomal RNA is filed under the name uncultured bacterium. RNAcentral's name for it is "partial 16S ribosomal RNA". It matches the Rfam family "Bacterial small subunit ribosomal RNA", at positions 338 to 795 of the family's 1533-position model. The record is from RNAcentral.